RNAcentral lists this ribosomal RNA (468 nucleotides) under uncultured bacterium. RNAcentral describes it as "partial 16S ribosomal RNA". It matches the Rfam family "Bacterial small subunit ribosomal RNA", at positions 28 to 507 of the family's 1533-position model. The record is from RNAcentral.
GACGAACGCUGGCGGCGUGCUUAACACAUGCAAGUCGAACGGAAAGGCCCUGCUUUUGUGGGGUGCUCGAGUGGCGAACGGGUGAGUAACACGUGAGUAACCUGCCCUUGACUUUGGGAUAACUUCAGGAAACUGGGGCUAAUACCGGAUAGGAGCUCCUGCUGCAUGGUGGGGGUUGGAAAUUUUCGGCGGUUGGGGAUGGACUCGCGGCUUAUCAGCUUGUUGGUGGGGUAGUGGCUUACCAAGGCUUUGACGGGUAGCCGGCCUGAGAGGGUGACCGGCCACAUUGGGACUGAGAUACGGCCCAGAGUCCUACGGGAGGAAGCAGUGGGGAAUAUUGCACAAUGGGCGGAAGCCUGAUGCAGCAACGCCGCGUGCGGGAUGACGGCCUUCGGGUUGUAAACCGCUUUCGCCUGUGACGAAGCGUGAGUGACGGUAAUGGGUAAAGAAGCACCGGCUAACUACGUG